This 478-nucleotide ribosomal RNA is filed under the name uncultured bacterium. Its description in RNAcentral is "partial 16S ribosomal RNA". It matches the Rfam family "Bacterial small subunit ribosomal RNA", at positions 28 to 507 of the family's 1533-position model. The record is from RNAcentral.
GAUGAACGCUAGCGGCAGGCCUAACACAUGCAAGUCGAGGGAGAAGCCCUUUCGGGGGCAGAAACCGGCGCACGGGUGCGUAACGCGUAUGCAACCUACCUUUCACAGGGGGAUAGCCCGAAGAACUUUGGAUUAAUACCCCAUCAUAUUAUUUGAUGGCAUCAUUUGAUAAUUAAAACUGCGGUGGUGAAAGAUGGGCAUGCGUCCUAUUAGCUAGUUGGAGUGGUAACGGCACCCCAAGGCUACGAUAGGUAGGGGUCCUGAGAGGGAGAUCCCCCACACGGGUACUGAGACAGGGACCAGACUCCUACGGGAGGCAGCAGUGAGGAAUAUUGGUCAAUGGUCGGAAGACUGGACCAGCCAUGCCGCGUGCAGGAAGAAUGCCUUAUGGGUUGUAAACUGCUUUUAUAUGGGAAGAAUAAGGUGUACGUGUACAUUGAUGACGGUACCAUAUGAAUAAGCAUCGGCUAACUCCGUG